Molecule: ribosomal RNA, 421 nt
Filed under: uncultured bacterium
Lineage: Bacteria
Description: bacterial SSU rRNA
Rfam family: Bacterial small subunit ribosomal RNA
Source: RNAcentral
ACGAACGCUGGCGGCGCGCCUAAUACAUGCAAGUCGAGCGAGAAGACGUAGCAAUACGUUUGUAAAGCGGCGAACGGGUGAGGAAUACAUGGGUAACCUACCCUCGAGUGGGGAAUAACUAGCCGAAAGGUUAGCUAAUACCGCGUACGCUCCUUGGACUUCGGUUCAGGGAGGAAAGCGAUACCGUGGGUAUCGCGCUCAUGGAUGGGCUCAUGUCCUAUCAGCUUGUUGGUGAGGUAACGGCUCACCAAGGCUUCGACGGGUAGCUGGUCUGAGAGGACGAUCAGCCACACUGGCACUGCGACACGGGCCAGACUCCUACGGGAGGCAGCAGUAAGGAAUAUUGCGCAAUGGGCGAAAGCCUGACGCAGCGACGCCGCGUGGGGGAUGAAGGUCUUCGGAUUGUAAACCCCUUUCGGGA